ACNANNGCUGGCGGCGUGCCUAAUACAUGCAAGUCGAGCGCAGGAAGUCAUCCGAACCCUUCGGGGGGACGUUGGCGGAAUGAGCGGCGGACGGGUGAGUAACACGUAAAGAACCUGCCCUCAGGUCUGGGAUAACCACGAGAAAUCGGGGCUAAUACCGGAUGGGUCAUCGGACCGCAUGGUCCGAGGAUGAAAGACGCUCCGGCGUCGCCUGGGGAUGGCUUUGCGGUGCAUUAGCUAGUUGGUGGGGUAAUGGCCCACCAAGGCGACGAUGCAUAGCCGACCUGAGAGGGUGAUCGGCCACACUGGGACUGAGACACGGCCCAGACUCCUACGGGAGGCAGCAGUAGGGAAUCUUCCACAAUGGACGAAAGUCUGAUGGAGCAACGCCGCGUGAACGAUGAAGGCCCUCGGGUCGUAAAGUUCUGUUGUAAGGGAAGAACAAGUGCCGCAGGCAAUGGCGGCACCUUGACGGUACCUUGCGAGAAAGCCACGGCUAACUACGUGCCAGCAGCCGCGGUAAUACGUAGGUGGCAAGCGUUGUCCGGAAUUAUUGGGCGUAAAGCGCGCGCAGGCGGCCUCUUAAGUCUGAUGUGAAAGCCCCCGGCUCAACCGGGGAGGGCCAUUGGAAACUGGGAGGCUUGAGUAUAGGAGAGAAGAGUGGAAUUCCACGUGUAGCGGUGAAAUGCGUAGAGAUGUGGAGGAACACCAGUGGCGAANGCGACUCUUUG
Molecule: ribosomal RNA, 731 nt
Filed under: uncultured bacterium
Lineage: Bacteria
Description: bacterial SSU rRNA
Rfam family: Bacterial small subunit ribosomal RNA
Source: RNAcentral